AUGGCAUGGUGGAAGCUUUGCAUCCCCAAAAGUGAAGGUGGAAUGGGCUUUCGAGAUCUAUACUCGUUCAAUUUAGCAAUGCUUGCAAAACAGUGCUGGAGGAUUGUAACAGAACCAGAAUCCCUGGUGGCCCGUGUGUUGAAAGCUAAGUACUUUCCUAAUGGGAGUAUCCUAGAAGCUACCCUGAAAAAUGGUUCUUCCUUUACUUGGCAAAGCAUAAUGAAAGGCUUAGAAACUUUCAAAAGAGGAAAUAUAUGGAGAAUUGGCACGGGAGAACAUGUGAAUAUCUGGAACGAUCCAUGGAUACCCAGUAGCGCAGACAGGAAAGUGAUCACUCCCCGUAACAAAACACUUCUGACAAGAGUUUGUGACUUGAUGGAUCCGCUGACUGGUACGUGGGAUGAGGAGUUACUAAGAGAUGUUUUUUGGGCAGUGGAUGUGCGUAGGAUUAUGCAAAUCCCAAUAUACCCGUUAGCCUUCGACGACUUCAUUGCUUGGCAACCUAACAGGACAGGGAUUUUCACUGUAAAAAUGGCCUACCAUCUUCAAUGGAGUCAUACUUAUAGGGCACAUGCAAAUAGGACAGAGAACCCGACUGGAUCUGCACCCGUGGAUAUCUAGAAUACCCUUUGGAAACUUCAGGUGCCACGUAAAGUUCAAAUAUUUGGUUGGCGAAUAUUGCGAGGAAUCAUCCCUCUAAAAUCAAUCCUAAUGAACUGGCAUGUAGGGUCGGACGGGGCCUGUCCGAUUUGUCAUCAGGGAGCGGAGGAUCUGAAACAUCUUCUGUUUUUGUGCACUAAUGCAAAGGAGCUUUGGAGGCGACUAGGUAUGGUGGAUGUCAUC
This 843-nucleotide ribosomal RNA is filed under the name Triticum aestivum (bread wheat). Its description in RNAcentral is "partial small subunit ribosomal RNA". The record is from RNAcentral. Lineage: Eukaryota; Viridiplantae; Streptophyta; Magnoliopsida; Poales; Poaceae.